This 73-nucleotide transfer RNA is filed under the name Dallia pectoralis (Alaska blackfish). Its description in RNAcentral is "tRNA-OTHER". It matches the Rfam family "tRNA". From Rfam's summary of the family: Transfer RNA (tRNA) molecules are approximately 80 nucleotides in length. Their secondary structure includes four short double-helical elements and three loops (D, anti-codon, and T loops). Lineage: Eukaryota; Metazoa; Chordata; Actinopteri; Esociformes; Umbridae. The record is from RNAcentral.
GCCUCCUUUCCGCAGUAGGUAGCGUGUCACUCUCAUAAUCUGAAGGUUGUGAGUUCGAUCCUCACAGGGGGCA